AAAUUUUUCACAUCACACCACAAGACUUUAGUCAAGAGAACUAAGAAAAAUACUCAUAAUUGUAACUCAAAAACUAAAGGAAAAAGCAUGCAAUUUUUUUUAUAAGAAAGCAAACAAAAAUCAAAACAAAGAAAAACUGAAAACAAAAUAAAGAAAACAAAAUAAAUAAAUGGUUCCCUCCCCCACACGCAAAACAUACAUUGUCCUCAAUGAAAGAGUAUAAAUAUAAAAUAAGAGUGAGGGAAAGGAAAGAACACACCCGAGGAGUCAAGGCGG
RNAcentral lists this long non-coding RNA (276 nucleotides) under Lathyrus oleraceus (garden pea). Its description in RNAcentral is "Pisum sativum (pea) long non-coding RNA (PSAT_LNC014407)". The record is from RNAcentral. Lineage: Eukaryota; Viridiplantae; Streptophyta; Magnoliopsida; Fabales; Fabaceae.